CAAUAGCGUAUAUUAAAGUUGUUGCGGUUAAAAAGCUCGUAGUUGGAUUUCUGCUUAGGACAGCCGGUCCGCACUACGUGCGUGUAUCUGGUUUGGCCUGGGCAUCCUAUCCGAAGGGGAUACUGUGCUUGAUUGCAUGGUUUUCAGUCGGGUACUUUUACUUUGAGGAAAUUAGAGUGUUCACGGCAGGCAAUCGCCCUGAAUAUAUUAGCAUGGAAUAAUAAUAUAGGAUCUGAUGCCUAUUUUGUUGGUUUCUAGGUGUUAGAUAAUGAUUAAUAGGGACAAUUGGGGGCAUUCGUAUUAUGGCGUCAGAGGUGGAAUUCUUGGAUUGCCAUACGACGAACUACCGCGAAAGCAUUUGCCAAGGAUGUUUUCAUUGA
Molecule: ribosomal RNA, 380 nt
Filed under: uncultured eukaryote
Lineage: Eukaryota
Description: partial 18S ribosomal RNA
Rfam family: Eukaryotic small subunit ribosomal RNA
Source: RNAcentral